CCUACGGGUGGCAGCAGUGAGGAAUAUUGGUCAAUGGACGCAAGUCUGAACCAGCCAUGCCGCGUGCAGGAAGACGGCUCUAUGAGUUGUAAACUGCUUUUGUACGAGGGUAAACGCAGAUACGCGUAUCUGUCUGAAAGUAUCGUACGAAUAAGGAUAGGCUAACUCUGCGCCAGCAGCCGCGGUAAUACGGAGGAUUCAAGCGUUAUCCGGAUUUAGUGGGUUUAAAGGGUGCGUAGGCGGUCGGAUAAGUCAGAGGUGAAAUCCCGAGGCUCAACUUCGGAAUUGCAUCUGAUACUGUUAGGCUAGAGAGUAGUAGAGGUAGGCGGAAUGUAUGGUGUAGCGGUGAAAUGCUUAGAGAUCAUACAGAACACCGAUUGCGAAGGCAGCUUACCGAGCUACUUCUGACGUUGAGGCACGAAAGCGUGGGGAGCAAACAGGAUUAGAUACCCUUGUAGUA
This 460-nucleotide ribosomal RNA is filed under the name uncultured bacterium. RNAcentral describes it as "partial 16S ribosomal RNA". It matches the Rfam family "Bacterial small subunit ribosomal RNA", at positions 338 to 795 of the family's 1533-position model. The record is from RNAcentral.